AACGCUGGCGGCGUGCGUAACACAUGCAAGUCGAACGAGAAUGUACUGACAGAUCCUUAGGGUGAAGAUAGUACAGGACAGUGGCGGAUGGGUGAGUAACGCGUAAGAAACCUGCCUUUCACACCGGGAUAGCAGCUGGAAACGGCUACUAAUACCGGAUGACACUUUUUCCCCGCAUGAGGAAGAGGUUAAAGAAUUUCGGUGAAAGAUGGUCUUGCGUCUGAUUAGCUAGUUGGUGGGGUAACGGCCUACCAAGGCGACGAUCAGUAGCCGGCCUGAGAGGGUGUACGGCCACAUUGGGACUGAGACACGGCCCAAACUCCUACGGGAGGCAGCAGUGGGGAAUUUUGUACAAUGGAGGAAACUCUGAUGCAGCGACGCCGCGUGAACGAAGAAGGUCUUCGGAUUGUAAAGUUCUGUCCUGGGUGAAGAUAAUGACGGUAACUCAGGAGGAAGCCCCGGCUAACUACGUGCCAGCCGCCGCGGUAA
RNAcentral lists this ribosomal RNA (489 nucleotides) under uncultured Eubacteriales bacterium. RNAcentral describes it as "bacterial SSU rRNA". It matches the Rfam family "Bacterial small subunit ribosomal RNA", at positions 32 to 523 of the family's 1533-position model. The record is from RNAcentral. Lineage: Bacteria; Bacillati; Bacillota; Clostridia; Eubacteriales.